This is a long non-coding RNA of Neofelis nebulosa (Clouded leopard), 2500 nucleotides long. RefSeq lists it as uncharacterized. The transcript has 4 exons. Lineage: Eukaryota; Metazoa; Chordata; Mammalia; Carnivora; Felidae. The record is from RefSeq and is a predicted model, not a curated record.
AUUCCCAUAUCUAUGUAGGUUCCUUGUAUAUACACUAAUACACUAGUAAAUUUGAUUUUCUACCAUCAAAAAAAAAAAGAAAAAUAACUCAAAAUAUAUUAAACACUUUGUUAUAGAUUUAAUGUUUGUGUCCUCCCCAAAAUUCGUAUGUUGAACUUUAAUUCCCAAUGUGAUGGUAUUUAGAAAUGCAACCUUUGGGAGAAGAUUUGAUUAUGAAAGUGGAGCCCUCAUGUAAAAGAUUAAUGCCCUCAUAAAAGACAUCAUAGCUUCCUCACCCCUUUUGACAUGUGUGGACAUGGUGAGAAGACAGCCAUCUGUGAAGCAGGGAGCAUAACUUCAGUAGACACCAAAUCUGCUGGCACCUUGAUCUUAGACUCCCCAGCCUCCAGAAUGCCAUAAGACAGCUGAUCUGGGAUCCUGGGAAACGCGGACUGCAGGGCUCAGUCUCUCCCUCUAAUGGAGAGCUGAGCUGGAGAAAGACAAAGGAUGGAGCCACCAUGCCCAAGCUCCUAGCCAUAGCGCCUAUAGAUCAUGUCAUUGGAUACUCCAGAAAAUGAAUAUGUCUUGAAGUGCAUGGAGUGUGUGAUUAAAUCCCUGAGUAGGAUAUUGAACCAGCCCUGCAUCCCAGGUAUAAAUCCCGCUUGGUCGUGGUGAAUAAUUUUUGCUUCUUCAUUUUGGAGGCCUGUGCUGCUGUGUAAGGAGUUUGAAUACUCCCUAGAGACACAACAUGGAGGGGCUCUGACAUCACAUAGAGAGGGAAAGGAGUCCAGCUUGGACCACCUUCAGCAGUUCCUGCAAAAGCCAAGGCAAGUGAAUGAAGAAGCCAUCUUGGAAAUGGAUCCCCUAGCUCUGUUCACCCCAGCUGAUGCCAUAUGGCUUAAGAGAUAAACCAGCCAGGUGAGCCCUUCCCAAAUUCCUGAUCCCCCAGUAUGAAAUGCUUGUUUUAAGCCACUAAGUUUUGGGCAGUAAUAGAUUAAGGAAACAGACUUUUGGUUUAAAUUUUGGGUUUCACUUUUUAGAAAUGAUGUUUUAUUCAUUCACCUAUUUAGCCACCUAUCCAUCCACCAACAUUUAUCAAGAGCUCAUUAUAUCUCUGAUGACACUGGGCUAAGUCCACCAGGAAGUUCUAAUAGAGUUUUAGCUUGGUAUUGUUUUGGCCUCAAAGUAUUCAGUUUUACUGUUCAGGAACUGAGAGUUCUUUUUUUAUAUUUUCCCUUCAUUUAUUCCAACACACUGAGCACCUCUCAUGUUCUAGGCACUGUAUAAAGUGUUGGUGAAGCAUUGCUGACUAAAACAAUAUAGUCUAUGUGCUCACUAGUCUUAUUUACAAAGGAGAAAUACAAAAACAAAAACGAAAACAAAAAUGGAACAAACAAGCAAAAACUUUUCUUCCAGUCCGUAAAAUAGGACACUAAUACAAACCUCAUAGGGUUUUCCUGAAAAUCAAAUGAUAUGAUGAAUGUGAAAGCUUUUUGUAGGUAGUUAUUGUUUAUAAAGGUAAAAGCUUUCAUUGAGUCUUUGUUUAAAUGUUUACUUAUUUUUGAGAGAGUGUACGCACAAGCAGGGGAGGGGCAGAGAGAGAGGGAGAGAGGAUCCCAAGCAGGCUCCAUAAGUGUCAGUGUAGAGACCGGCGCAGGGCUUGAACCCAUGAACUGUGAGAUCAUAACCUCAGCUGAAACCAAGAGUCAGAUGCUUAACUGACUGAGACACCCAGGGGCCCUCUUUUACUGUGUCUUGAUGAUAGUAUCAGUAGCAGAAGACAUCAGAGGCAAAACAGGGAUUUAACACUCAAAAUGAAAAUAAGUGUAUGUCAUAAGUGACCAUAUAUUGCAGGAAUUAUUAACCUUAAUUGCUGGGCCCUUAUUGGACUUCAGUGGAUCCAAAGAACUUCUGAAAUUAUAUGCAAGAUUAUGUGUGGAUAUGUUAUGCACAUUAUCUUUUGAAUGAGAGACCCAAUGCUUUUGUUAGAUUUUCAAAGGUGUUAGUGAUCCUGACAGGUAAGGAACCACUGAUUUGAAGAAUUAAAGCAAUUGCAAUAUAUUAAACUCUUCUAGGCAUCAACCAGCCUAUGCAGUAUUUUUUCUCAUAGUAAUUUAAUCUACACAAUCUCUCUAGAAACUGAGACUUAGAGAGGUUAAGUGACUUGUCCAAGUUUAGUAUAUAAUGGGCCUGGCAUUUCAUUCCAGCUCUGCCUUAUUCGAAAGGUCUUUCCACUGUAACAUGUUGAGUAUUUGAGUUCUUAAUUACAAGCCACAGUAACCAAUUAUGUUGGCUUAAGCAAAAAGGAAAUGCACUGAGAAGAUACUGCUGCUCACAAAUUUUCUGAGAUAGAAAGAAUGGAGAGCCAAAAUCAUUCCUAUCAUUCCAGUAGGGACUUUCUAGGGACAAAAUAUUACCCCUUCAAAAAAAAUGUCUGAGGUAUAAGCCCAAUGCACCAAUGGGUUUGCUAGGUGUUUAAAGAAGACCCAAAUAAACAGAUCCCAUCCCCACUUUUGUCUGA